UCCUUGGGUGGCGAGUGGCGGACGGGUGAGGAAUACAUCGCAAUCUACUUUUUCGUGGGGGAUAACGUAAGGAAACUUACGCUAAUACCGCAUACGACCUACGGGUGAAAGCAGGGGACCUUCGGGCCUUGCGCGAUUGAAUGAGCCGAUGUCGGAUUAGCUAGUUGGCGGGGUAAAGGCCCACCAAGGCGACGAUCCGUAGCUGGUCUGAAAGGAUGAUCACCCACACUGGAACUGAGACACGGUCCACACUCCUACGGGAGGCAGCAGUGGGGAAUAUUGGACAAUGGGCGCAAGCCUGAUCCAGCCAUACCGCGUGGGUGAAGAAGGCCUUCGGGUUGUAAAGCCCUUUUGUUGGGAAAGAAAUCCAGCCGGCUAAUACCUGGUUGGGAUGACGGUACCCAAAAAAUAACCACCGGCUAACUUCGUGCCACCAGCCGCGGUAAUACGAAGGGUGCAAGCGUUACUCGUAAUUACUGGGCGUAGAGCGUGCGUAGGUGGUUGUUUAAGUCUGUUGUGAAAGCCCUGGGCUCAACCUGGGAACUGCAAUGGAAACUGGACAACUAGAGUGUGGUAGAGGGUAACGGAAUUCCCGGUGUAGCAGUGAAAUGCGUAUAGAUCGGGAGGAACAUCCAUGGCGAAGGCAGCUACCUGGACCAUCACUGACACUGAGGCACGAAA
This 681-nucleotide ribosomal RNA is filed under the name Stenotrophomonas tumulicola. RNAcentral describes it as "bacterial SSU rRNA". It matches the Rfam family "Bacterial small subunit ribosomal RNA", at positions 81 to 758 of the family's 1533-position model. The record is from RNAcentral. Lineage: Bacteria; Pseudomonadati; Pseudomonadota; Gammaproteobacteria; Lysobacterales; Lysobacteraceae.